Molecule: long non-coding RNA, 2221 nt
Organism: Globicephala melas (long-finned pilot whale)
Lineage: Eukaryota; Metazoa; Chordata; Mammalia; Artiodactyla; Delphinidae
Source: RefSeq, a predicted model, not a curated record
GGCUCGACACGGCAGGCUGGCGGCGGGGAGGCUGGUACUCACCUUGCGGCGCCGCACGCUUGGCCGCCUUUGUAUGCAAACACCCAGCCCGCCUCGCGCUCCUGGUCUGCGCGGCCCGGCCCCCGGGGGCGGGGCGAGCGGGGCGGCGCAAGGGGCCUCACGAGACUCGAGCCACUCGGCUGCUUUCAGGGCCCGCCCGGCACCAGGCGGCAGAGCCUCCCUCGCAGGAAGUGCCGGGGCAGCCCGCCCCCUCCUUCCUCGCCUACCUUAGAGCUCUUUACUGAGAUGCAGAAGGAAGACGGAAGAUGCGGGCUCGGAAGGAAAUGCGAGCGCACUUCUGGCCACUCUAAGACUGGGAUUUUUUCCAGCCAACCCAGACAUGUCGGGAAGGGGAAGGCUUCUGGUGCUCGUUGAAGAAGCCGGCUGGCUCUAGGUAGAAGUUUAGGGUCAUCUGCUAUCUUUCUCUGCUAUCCCCAUUAUUUCCACUGCAUCUAAACAAGUCCAGACUCUGCAGGGAGAAUUUGUUUCCAACAAGCAAUGAGGAGAAGACACUAGAUCACGUUUCAGUAUAAACUGAGCUGGAUUCACGAAAGCCCUCUGCCCUGCUGAUCCUGCCCUGGCUGGAGUCCCCCUGGGAGGGCCCUUGCUGUGCGGUCUGCAACCAAGCAGUCACCCAGCUGUGACUCAGCCAGGACAGCUGAGGUGAUCCCCUGGGCCAAUCCCUGGACCUGCCGCUUUCAGCCCAACUCGGAAGAGGAGAAGGAAACCACCGGGAUGCGAUGCGUAAACUUGCUCCAGCCUCUGGAGGAGGAAGGAGGGAGGAGUGAUGCCAGAGCAAAGCGAUGCAAGCACCCUCGAUCCUAAAAAGACUCAGACUCGGUUUCACUAUCUGGAAAAUCGGAGACAGAUCCACUUUGAGGAUGGAAAUGGCCAUCACGUGAAAUACAUGGACUUUGCUAACUUGAAAGAUUUUGAAGUUCUAGAACCGUAUACAUUAAGGAGUGGUGAUUCCCAGGAUCUGUUCAGUGCUUAGCCCAGCUGUGAUACAGAGACUGUCCGGCUUGCCCAGCCUCAAGACCCUGCAGGCUGCUGACCUUCCUCCUAGGAGGGACACCUAGAGAAGGCUGAUGAUGUGUAAGGCUAAACAAUUACAACUCCUCGAUUGUCAGAACUCUUCUCUACAUAGAAAAGCGACGAGAAUGAUCUAAGCCGCCCUAUUCCAGCUGGAAAUCUCCAUCCUUCUAUCCAGUGACAAUAACAAUCCUGGGAAUUCUGAAGUUUUCCAGAUUAACUACCUACACAAUUGAAAGGGCUCUGCAAGGGGGAGGGGAGACAGGAGGGUGACCUCUUGCCCCUCUUCACCUGAGUCUCAUGAAACAAUACAGCCAGGCCUGCAGGACCCAGGUCUCUAUGAAGCAGCCCUCACACCUCGGAAGAACAUUAACAUCACACCUGAGCAAAAUGACGUGCACCUACGAGGAGCAUCAAAGAUGAUGGAACGUCCACAUCGCCUCCUCUGGCACCCAUGGGAACGCUGCCUCAGUAAACCUCUGGCCUCUCUCUCCACCCUUCGUCCCUUCCGUUCUGAGGAAGGAAGUACGGAGCUGUGACUCAACUGCUCCUUUCUGGUGUGACGGUCAGCACAAACCAAGACAAGAUUCCAUCUUCCCUGGUGCGACAAGGGAAAGAGGUUGCCUGCCCCUCCCCUCUCUCCUUAGCACGUUUACUACUGGACACUUACUAUACAUUCUUUCUCUGCCCCUUUGAGAGUAAAUCUUAAAAAGUAAAUCUUUCUAAAAGCUAAAUAAGCCUCUGGGCACCUGUACAACUCAGAAAUAUUCCUAGCACCUGGCAGCCACCUCUCAGAAAUGUAAACAGAAAGGUGCCCCCCCCCCGCCCCCUGUCUCCCAGCGUCCCUGGGAGGGCAGGCGCCUAACUUCGGCAGGUGUCCUGCCUCGCUCCACGGUGCAAAACUAGCUCUUGUUACAAAGGAACUAGAAGUUUCGUUUUUCCUUUGGAUAAAGGCAAUAAGCUAACACAGAUGGCCACCCCGUUACCAGGUAAACCGUGUGUGACAAAUGGUGCUGUCAGGUCCUCUUACUGAGGACUGGUUGUCGUUUAACCUGAGAACACAUGUCAGCCUGCCUACAUGAACAUGUGAAAUCCCUUCAUGUCUUUGCAGUCUCUUAUUGGACGGCCUGGUUUCAUGCUUAUUCGAUAA